Cyprinus carpio carpio is the source of this 1701-nucleotide long non-coding RNA. NCBI's taxonomy places the organism in Eukaryota, Metazoa, Chordata, Actinopteri, Cypriniformes, Cyprinidae. The record is from Ensembl.
GAGGUGAAAGGUGGACCAUCAAAUUAACAACAGGGGACAACAUGUUUCUGGUGGGGGAUAAAGUCUGCCUUAUCAAAAACAUUAUCCAAAAUGAUAAUGGUGUGUACGCUAUUUACACUGAAUUUUCCCGGCAGUCUCCAUUCUAUACCUACCCCUUCAACUCUGACAGAAUGAACAUAUUUGUUGUAAAUUAUCCAUCUGACGAGCUGAAGUCAGUUGAGGUGUCAGCGCUGCGACAGAAAUGUGUAGCCUUGCCAUACAGGGAUGGUUUCGUGGCCAUACCCCUCCUCCACUAAAUGGAAAAAAACAAAGAAAAAAAAUCCAAUCAAUCAGUUUAAACAAUCAGUUCAAGUUAAAAACUCUAAAAAUAUAGUUGACUACUGACUUCUGACUAUGACUUCCAUUACUCUGGAUGAAAAUUUGCUGAUGCCUUUUCAUCUAAUUGAAUUUCAAGCGAGCGAGGACAUCGCUGUUGUGCCAAUUGACUGGUAUGAUGACGGGAUGGUGUACUGGCCCAGCUUUAAGAGCACUGAGCGUGUGAAAAGGGCAGCUGCUAACGAGGAGAAGCAUGAGCCAAACUGGCCAAGAUAUGAUGUAAAGGUUGUCAGAACUUGUGACAACUACAAAGACGCCAUUAGGCUUAUGACUCAAUAUCAGAAUGGCUGCAACACCUCUGAGCUACAGUCUGAGGCAGAGCAGGAGGGUAAGCUGCCAGAGAAAAAGAUUCAGGAAGCCAGUGUAAGUGUGUUCUGUCUUGUUUUUGUUAUGUUUCUACAGUAAUAAGAAGGUUAUUUCCCGUAGCAUUCAAAAAUAGACAAGAGAUGCUUGUACUAUGUAUAUUUUGCAAUUUUGGGAUUGCAAUAACCAUAAUGGUUACUUAACAGCCAUCGUUUUGGGGACUCUGAUGAGAGUGAAGAAGAGCCAGAAAAUGGUGACUUUGCAUCUCUGAGGAUGCCACGACCUUCCAACUUGCCUGGUGUAUCAGUUGAAGCCUCAUGCCCAAGCCAAUUGCACUGGAAGACUCCAUCAUCUUGCCGAGUGCCAGGCAGCAGAGUAACUACUCCUCAACCUGGAGAAAACUGUCUAGCACCAGACUAUGGAGCAGGACAGCAACACCCUUCACCACCUCAACUCCCAACACCCGCAUUUAACAUGCGGAGAGUUACUCAAGGAAUGGCAGUCCCUCCACAACUCCCUCCACCCCCCGCACCAGCCCUCAACAUGCGGCCAACAGAGGAAGCCUGUUCAAGCCUGACCUACAGACCAACAUGGCGAGGGGGAAGAAUGGCCGAUACCAUUCCCUGCUCUGCGGCUGAGGUCCACAUACUUAGCCUGCUGGAAACCAUUAAACAGCAACAAGACCAGCUUGUGGCAAAGGUGAACUACCUCAGCAGCAGGCUGAACAGCACCCCGGGGCCAGAUGUUGAGAUGCCUGAAAAUAUCCAGUUUCCCCUGGAACAAUUGGAGGCCGUGGAGGCAUUUGAAAUGUUUCUAAAGGAACCGUCAAAUGGCCCAGCUCGACAGAGAGUGAUUUCUUCUUUGGCCACCAUUGGAGGCCAGGAUGUGAAGAGGGUGACCUGGAACAUCCUGGGCAGGCUCUUCACAGAUGAGGUGUCUCAUCAGAUCAACUGGAAGGGUGUUAAUAACAAAAAAAGCCCUUCAGUAGGAUGGCAACGAAGACCUUGCUUUUCAGUGCUGUGA